RNAcentral lists this long non-coding RNA (837 nucleotides) under Homo sapiens (human). Lineage: Eukaryota; Metazoa; Chordata; Mammalia; Primates; Hominidae. The record is from RNAcentral.
AAACGCCCAUGCACUCCCCGCCCUUCUUCCUCAGGCUGUGCCCAUCAAAACACACGGCACUUGGGUGACAGCAGCACAAGAAGCUUGUUCAGAGCCUGUGAUGUCCUCUCUGUACCUGGCCUAUUGUCCUCUGGAUGCUCGCAGCAAUGGGUGGGGCAAGUAGCCUUUAUAUAGGCAGCCACCCUGAAGCCAGAGACAUGGAGUGCCUGUCUCAAGUCACCUGAAAUCCAAGACACAGCACUGAUUUGAACUUCUGGCUUCUGGCACCACAGGCCCCAAGCGCAGCUCUUCCUCCUCCACAGGCCUGGAGGCUCUGCACACCUGCUUCCUGCCUUCCAGGGGAGACUGUACCUAAGAUGCUUUCAGCAUCUAUUCUGUCCCGAGCAUGGGCCAGAGAGAGUAGCAGACACUCACCUGUCGGGAGAACCCACGCCAAGCAGGCCAGCAGCCAGAUGGACUUUUCCAUGCUGUAUCAAGACGCUCACCUUUUAAGAGGCUUGCCCUAACUGGAGUGCUGGAGUCUGAACUUUCUUUGAACAUCGUUUGAUCUCAGAUGCAGCCAGUCCUGUGCACAGCCUGAUGGGAUGGAAUGUUCAGGAUCAUCAUGUGAUUCCCCUGGGUGGCCUAGCUGAGGGACACAAAUUUCCCCAGGCAGAGAAGACAGCACAGGAGGAAGAAGCUCCAAUAUCGAGAGUGAGAGGGCUGCAAAUUCGUCAAGAGCUGGCACCUCCAACCAAAAAUGUGCAGUUAUCGAUCAAUAAAACCAGCUUUUGUUUUAAUUUUUGACUUUUUGAUUUUUAGUUUUUUCCUCCCCAGCCAUCAUGGUGCUGCAUGCCC